This 496-nucleotide ribosomal RNA is filed under the name uncultured bacterium. RNAcentral's name for it is "partial 16S ribosomal RNA". It matches the Rfam family "Bacterial small subunit ribosomal RNA", at positions 28 to 506 of the family's 1533-position model. The record is from RNAcentral.
GAUGGACGCUGGCGGCGUGCCUAAUACAUGCAAGUCGAGCGAACAGACGAGGAGCUUGCUCCUCUGACGUUAGCGGCGGACGGGUGAGUAACACGUGGAUAACCUACCUAUAAGACUGGGAUAACUUCGGGAAACCGGAGCUAAUACCGGAUAACAUGUUGAACCGCAUGGUUCAACAGUGAAAGACGGUCUUGCUGUCACUUAUAGAUGGAUCCGCGCCGCAUUAGCUAGUUGGUAAGGUAACGGCUUACCAAGGCAACGAUGCGUAGCCGACCUGAGAGGGUGAUCGGCCACACUGGAACUGAGACACGGUCCAGACUCCUACGGGAGGCAGCAGUAGGGAAUCUUCCGCAAUGGGCGAAAGCCUGACGGAGCAACGCCGCGUGAGUGAAGAAGGUCUUCGGAUCGUAAAACUCUGUUAUUAGGGAAGAACAAAUGUGUAAGUAACUAUGCACGUCCUGACGGUACCUAAUCAGAAAGCCACGGCUAACUACGU